RNAcentral lists this ribosomal RNA (251 nucleotides) under uncultured bacterium. RNAcentral describes it as "partial 16S ribosomal RNA". It matches the Rfam family "Bacterial small subunit ribosomal RNA", at positions 525 to 775 of the family's 1533-position model. The record is from RNAcentral.
ACGUAGGGAGCAAGCGUUGUCCGGAUUUACUGGGUGUAAAGGGUGCGUAGGCGGCUAGGCAAGUCAGACGUGAAAACCAUGGGCUCAACCUGUGGACUGCGUUUGAAACUGUUUAGCUUGAGUGAAGUAGAGGUAGGCGGAAUUCCCGGUGUAGCGGUGAAAUGCGUAGAGAUCGGGAGGAACACCAGUGGCGAAGGCGGCCUACUGGGCUUUAACUGACGCUGAGGCACGAAAGCAUGGGUAGCAAACAG